This 592-nucleotide long non-coding RNA is filed under the name Piliocolobus tephrosceles (Ugandan red Colobus). RNAcentral describes it as "lncRNA (ENSPTEG00000016441.1)". Lineage: Eukaryota; Metazoa; Chordata; Mammalia; Primates; Cercopithecidae. The record is from RNAcentral.
AAUGUGCUCACAAGUACAGCAUGGGGAAAGAUGUGACUUGCUAGUGCUUUACGUUAAAAACACCUGAAGGUUUUUGUUUUUGUUUUUUUUUCACCUGAAGGUUUUAACAAAGCCAUUGGUGAGAAGCAACUGUGAGAAAAGCAAAUACAGUCUUAGACGCAACAAGAUUUGGAUCAUGAACAGUCACAAUUAAUUGCACUCUGAGACUAUCAGAAAAUGUGUUGUGCUUCACAUUGGGUCCUGCAAGACAGACGCUGAUAAAUUAGGAUAUAAUCAGAAAAAGAUGCAUGGGAGUGUGAAGGUGUUUGAGCAACAUAUCCAAUGUGGAAGACUGAAAAGAAGAACAGAGAACUCUAUAAUUUCUUCUUUGGUAUACUGUCAUGUUUGAAGUCUCACUCCUAGGAAUUAUCUUGAUUCAGAAACGUUUUUGACUUUGAUGCAUAAGGAUGAAAAAACAAAUGAAGUGAGCCCUGUAUUUGCCACAAUUUGAAAUUGUGAAAUAGGAGACAGGAAAGUCCUGGAAAAAACAUACCAGAUUCCAUUCACGGAUUCCAAAGUAGAGAGGGUUUAGAGAAUUUAUGGCUGGGUGAGU